UAAUAAAACAGAGAGAGCAAAAUCAGGAAUUUUUAAAGUGAAAAGUGGCCGGCAGGAAAUUCCAUUUGUGAAGGGAACCAUAGAGUGAGCUCUCGCUUAGUUCGGAGUGGUGGCUUCAGCUGACCAUUGCUAAGCCUCUGGCCUUCAACGGCGCCGUUUCGGUCCCAAUCAUCACCAUCGCCACCACCACCAACACCAAACUCACAUACCCAAAAUCAAACGGCAAUUUACUUUAGACUUUUGGCUCAAAUGGCGGUAGAAACAGUCUGAGGCUUCUGGCUUUUGGGUAUGCUCUGCUAAUUCAAGGACGGAGCAAGUGAAGCAUAUGAAACUUCUCCAGGCUUAUUGCAAUUCUCAAAACCAUCUAAUAUUCAAGGUAGUCUAGUAUUUGGACUCAGUCAGAGGAAGGUGCAGACUUUUUCUACCUUGAAUCAAAUUUUUAGUCAGUGAUUUUGAAGUUGUCAAAGGGUCUGGGAAGGUUUCUCUAGAAGCUGCCAACCAUCAGGUGUAGAGGGAACUGAUAAGAGAGGCACUGGUACUGAAACCGGAGGUGAGCUUGCAGGAGAGCAGAGUUGAGCAGCAUCUGUACUGCUCAGGCGGCUAGUAGCAGUCUACCUCGCGCACAGCGUACCGCUUGUUUCCUUCCACUACAACAGUCGUAUUUAUCCUUUCUUUACCUAUUAUUAUCUUCUGGACUUAUUUAUUUCUUAUUUGUACUCGUAAACCUUAUUGACACUCUUAGAGUGCUGUGAUUUUAAAUAUGGAACUCAAUAGAAACCAUAGUACUCAUGUGUGUUGUUAUGGCCUGUAGUACAGUACGCAGGUUGUGGACUUAUUUAUAUUUAUAUUUUUAUAUUUGAGAUACUAAUGUUAA
Long non-coding RNA from Ziziphus jujuba (common jujube), 874 nucleotides. RefSeq lists it as uncharacterized. NCBI's taxonomy places the organism in Eukaryota, Viridiplantae, Streptophyta, Magnoliopsida, Rosales, Rhamnaceae. The record is from RefSeq and is a predicted model, not a curated record. The transcript is spliced from 6 exons.